GAUGAACGCUGGCGGCGUGCUUAACACAUGCAAGUCGAACGGAAAGGCCAGUGCUUGCCCUGGUACUCGAGUGGCGAACGGGUGAGUAACACGUGGGUGAUCUGCCCUGCACUUCGGGAUAAGCCUGGGAAACUGGGUCUAAUACCGGAUAGGACAAUGGUUUGGAUGCCGUUGUGGAAAGUUUUUUCGGUGUGGGAUGAGCUCGCGGCCUAUCAGCUUGUUGGUGGGGUAAUGGCCUACCAAGGCGUCGACGGGUAGCCGGCCUGAGAGGGUGUACGGCCACAUUGGGACUGAGAUACGGCCCAGACUCCUACGGGGGGCAGCAGUGGGGAAUAUUGCACAAUGGGCGCAAGCCUGAUGCAGCGACGCCGCGUGGGGGAUGACGGCCUUCGGGUUGUAAACUCCUUUCGCUAGGGACGAAGCGUAUUUGUGACGGUACCUGGAGAAGAAGCACCGGCUAACUACGUG
RNAcentral lists this ribosomal RNA (468 nucleotides) under uncultured bacterium. Its description in RNAcentral is "partial 16S ribosomal RNA". It matches the Rfam family "Bacterial small subunit ribosomal RNA", at positions 28 to 507 of the family's 1533-position model. The record is from RNAcentral.